Non-coding RNA from Myodes glareolus (Bank vole), 1537 nucleotides. The record is from RefSeq and is a predicted model, not a curated record. NCBI's taxonomy places the organism in Eukaryota, Metazoa, Chordata, Mammalia, Rodentia, Cricetidae.
CUUCCUGCUGCCUUCUGAUCAAGAGGUAGUCAGCACCAUGUCUGCCUGUAACUCAAUGUCAUGACGAUGAAGAAUUGAAUCCCUGAACUUACCUUGAGACUUUUCAAGUAUUUCCACAAAAACUUCAAGGGACAGGUGCAGCAGAGACGGCUCAGCAGUUAACAGCACUGGGAAUUCUGAUGCCCAGCACCCAGAACAUGGCUAACAACCUCCAGUCCAUGGAAACCGAUACCUGUUACUCUUCUGGGCUCCAAUGACACCAGAGCCACUGGUGCAGGGAGCAACCUACUGAAGAGUAAGGAAAUGGAACUUGACCUUGGAUUCCUACUUCCUGGGUGUCAGGAGCAGUGAGGAUUCGUGUCCCUCUACUGAACCAACUGUAGACUUUCUCAGCACAGAGCAUUCUGUCAUCUUCAAAGGGGAAUAAGCGGUCCAUCGUGUGCUAUUUUGAGUGAAGAAGAGCAGCCUUCCCUGAUGUCCCUUGCCUCCAGGUAAGGCAGGCAUUAGAAGUGUGUAAAGAGAAGCCCGUGCGGUUAGGGAGGAACGCUUCUGCCCAAGGAUUAUCCAGCAGCUUUGCUUUGCACGCAGUGCGAAAUUCAACACGACUUCCGAACCCUCGCCCUUCUAGUUGUAGGAGUUCAUCCUACAACUCUACUUCCUGUGACUUAAGGGACAGCGCGUUGUUUCACUAGACAGCAGGAUGACUAGGUACAGAGGUCUGGUGUGCGAGUUGGGGAAUACAGUACAAAUUGACACGAGCGCAGACGAAGAGUCAGCAGCAUGGGCAAGCAGAUGCCUGACUGCCAGGUGGACAGCUGCAGCACCCUCUCUCGGAACUUCCCCUGCAGACUUGCCUGACUACUGGCUUCCAAGUCGCCUUAAGGAGAAAGCCUGAAAUACCCAUGAGCUAGCUGGCCUAGCCGCUUUUUUGUUUGUUUGUUUGUUUGUUUGUUUGUUUGUGGCUGGUUUUUAAAACUCAGUAACACCCUGCAUGCUCCGAGCUAGCGAAAUGUAGCAUAUUUUUUCAUUGGAAAUUUUUAUAAAAAUGAGUACAAUCUUGCGAAGGUGAGCCACCACUCAAUAAAGAGACACCAACACGACAAUAGCCCACUUUCUAAAAGUCUAAAGAAAGCAAAACCCAGAGCAACGGCACACUACGCCACGCCCUCUUGGGGGCGGGAUCAAGGAAUGCGCCUGCGCAUUGCGCCCAUGCUGGCCUCUCCGACCUACAACAGCUAAAAAAAAAAACCACUGCGUGGACUGGCUCUCCAGCUACCUCCUGCUGCACAGUUAACCCGAGGUUCGCUGCUCUCCGAACCCUAUUCUACACACACCCAGCGAUGUCGUCCUGCAACCGCGUGGCGCUGGUGACCGGGGCUAACAAAGGCAUAGGCUUCGCAAUCACGCGUGACCUCUGUCGGAAGUUCUCGGGGGACGUGGUGCUCACCGCCCGGGACCAGGCAAGGGGCAAGGCCGCGGUGCAGCAGCUGCAGGCAGAGGGCCUGAGCCCGCGCUUCCACCAGCUGGACAUCGACGA